This 301-nucleotide ribosomal RNA is filed under the name uncultured bacterium. Its description in RNAcentral is "bacterial SSU rRNA". It matches the Rfam family "Bacterial small subunit ribosomal RNA", at positions 214 to 507 of the family's 1533-position model. The record is from RNAcentral.
CGCGCAGCAGGAUGAGCCGAUGUCCGAUUAGCUAGUUGGUGGGGUAAAGGCCUACCAAGGCGACGAUCGGUAGCUGGUCUGAGAGGAUGAUCAGCCACACUGGGACUGAGACACGGCCCAGACUCCUACGGGAGGCAGCAGUGGGGAAUAUUGGACAAUGGGGGCAACCCUGAUCCAGCAAUGCCGCGUGUGUGAAGAAGGCCUUCGGGUUGUAAAGCACUUUUAUCGGGAACGAAACACCGUGGGUUAAUACCCUGCGGGACUGACGGUACCCGAGGAAUAAGCACCGGCUAACUCCGUG